AGUCGCUGGGUGUAGACCCGAAACCAAGUGAUCUAUCCAUGGCCAGGAUGAAGGUGCCGUAACAGGUACUGGAGGUCCGAACCGACUAGUGUUGCAAAACUAGCGGAUGAGCUGUGGAUAGGGGUGAAAGGCUAAACAAACUUGGAAAUAGCUGGUUCUCUCCGAAAACUAUUUAGGUAGUGCCUCAAGUAUUACCAUCGGGGGUAGAGCACUGUUUUGGCUAGGGGGUCAUGGCGACUUACCAAACCAAGGCAAACUCCGAAUACCGAUGAGUACAGCUUGGGAGACAGAGCACCGGGUGCUAACGUCCGGACUCAAGAGGGAAACAACCCAGACCGCCAGCUAAGGUCCCUAAAAUUGGCUAAGUGGGAAACGAAGUGGGAAGGCUAAAACAGUCAGGAUGUUGGCUUAGAAGCAGCCAUCAUUUAAAGAAAGCGUAAUAGCUCACUGAUCGAGUCGUCCUGCGCGGAAGAUGUAACGGGGCUAAGCCAGUUACCGAAGCUGCGGAUUUGCAAUUUAUUGCAAGUGGUAGGAGAGCGUUCUGUAAGCCUGUGAAGGUGCGUUGUAAAGCGCGCUGGAGGUAUCAGAAGUGCGAAUGCUGACAUGAGUAGCGUUAAAGGGGGUGAAAAGCCCCCUCGCCGUAAGCGCAAGGUUUUCUACGCAACGUUCAUCGGCGUAGAGUGAGUCGGCCCCUAAGGCGAGGCAGAGAUGCGUAGCUGAUGGGAAACAGGUCAAUAUUCCUGUACCGAUGUGUAGUGCGAUGUGGGGACGGAGAAGGUUAGCUCAGCCAACUGUUGGAUAUGUUGGUUCAAGCCUGUAGUCGUGCCUGGUAGGAAAAUCCGCCGGGCUUAGAUGAGGGGUGAUAACGAGGCUGCUUGCAGCCGAAGUGAGUGAUACCCUGCUUCCAGGAAAAGCCACUAAGCUUCAGCUACACACGACCGUACCGCAAACCGACACUGGUGCGCGAGAUGAGUAUUCUAAGGCGCUUGAGAGAACUCAGGAGAAGGAACUCGGCAAAUUGACACCGUAACUUCGGAAGAAGGUGUGCCCUUAGUAGGUGAAGUCCCUCGCGGAUGGAGCCCAAUGGGGUUGCAAAAAAUCGGUGGCUGCGACUGUUUAUUAAAAACACAGCACUCUGCAAACACGAAAGUGGACGUAUAGGGUGUGACGCCUGCCCGGUGCUGGAAGAUUAAAUGAUGGGGUGCAAGCUCUUGAUUGAAGUCCCAGUAAACGGCGGCCGUAACUAUAACGGUCCUAAGGUAGCGAAAUUCCUUGUCGGGUAAGUUCCGACCUGCACGAAUGGCGUAACGAUGGCCACACUGUCUCCUCCUGAGACUCAGCGAAGUUGAAAUGUUUGUGAUGAUGCAAUCUCCCCGCGGAAAGACGGAAAGACCCCAUGAACCUUUACUGUAGCUUU
This 1417-nucleotide ribosomal RNA is filed under the name sediment metagenome. RNAcentral's name for it is "bacterial LSU rRNA". It matches the Rfam family "Bacterial large subunit ribosomal RNA", at positions 698 to 2113 of the family's 2925-position model. The record is from RNAcentral.